Molecule: ribosomal RNA, 256 nt
Filed under: uncultured bacterium
Lineage: Bacteria
Description: partial 16S ribosomal RNA
Rfam family: Bacterial small subunit ribosomal RNA
Source: RNAcentral
UACAGAGGAUGCAAGCGUUAUCCGGAAUGAUUGGGCGUAAAGCGUCUGUAGGUGGCUUUUUAAGUCCGCCGUCAAAUCCCAGGGCUUCAACUCUGGACAGGCGGUGGAAACUACCAAGCUGGAGUACGGUAGGGGCAGAGGGAAUUUCCGGUGGAGCGGGUGAAAUGCGUAGAGAUCGGAAAGAACACCAACGGCGAAAGCAACUCUGCUGGGCCGACACUGACACUGAGAGACGAAAGCUAGGGGAGCGAAUGGG